This 235-nucleotide unclassified non-coding RNA is filed under the name Aliivibrio wodanis. RNAcentral's name for it is "putative sRNA". Lineage: Bacteria; Pseudomonadati; Pseudomonadota; Gammaproteobacteria; Vibrionales; Vibrionaceae. The record is from RNAcentral.
GAUUGUUGUGCAAGCUUCAGGUAACUGGUUUUUUGUGUUCUUCUCACAGAUCUCCUCAUAAAAAGCCAGCCUAGCUUCAUGCCCCGAGAGGGGCUUCCCUUCUUUGUAAUACACUUUUCCGUCACCUUUAAUAUUUCAAAUGUCCUUAAGUUUAUUUUUUCACUGCCGAUAGUUAAUAAUCAGAGUCUGUUUAUGUCUCUGUAUUGAUUAUUAUGCCUCUAUCAAGAACAGCAAU